GUGGCAGCCAGAGGCUAGAGGUCUGAGUCCAAAUGAGUAGCAGCUCCAAGAAGUUCAUUUUCUUGACCUUUGGAGCAUGCUGUAUGGUGCCAGGUUCUAACAACAGUACUGUUCUCUCUAAUUUAGGUUCUGAUUCUGGAUUUGGAUCCACAUGAUGAACUCUCCAAGGCUCCAACCACAGAUCUGAUAGCAGGAUCAAGGUCCUGAACUCUAAAUAACUGAGUUAGCAAUUGUGUCAUCUUCUGCAUACAAUGCAGCACCAAACCCAAUUGGAAGAAAGAAACAAGGAGAGGAGAACCCAAAUUAGAUGCAUCUGGCUCCUUCAAAGCAUACUGAAUUUCACACACAAACACACCUGGGAAAUACCAGCUGCUGCCUGA
RNAcentral lists this long non-coding RNA (380 nucleotides) under Crocodylus porosus (Australian saltwater crocodile). RNAcentral describes it as "lncRNA (ENSCPRG00005006642.1)". Lineage: Eukaryota; Metazoa; Chordata; Crocodylia; Crocodylidae. The record is from RNAcentral.